Molecule: long non-coding RNA, 2614 nt
Organism: Rattus norvegicus (Norway rat)
Lineage: Eukaryota; Metazoa; Chordata; Mammalia; Rodentia; Muridae
Source: RefSeq, a predicted model, not a curated record
ACAAGUAGGUCUAAGUGAAGCCCCCCGCGGAGGAAUCCACAUUUCAGGGCGGAGCCAGGCCCAGGCAGCCAAAUAAAGCCAGCCGCAGUGCAACAGCCAUAGAAUACGAAAAUCCAUUUUCUGUAUGAGAGAGUCCUCCUACACGCUUAAAACAGACUUCAGACUCCAGGCAGAGAAAGGUCUUCCCUGCACCCCAAACAGUCAGGACUCCCGCUGGCGUCCUCUAACUUGACACCUUUCCCCUGUGCUCUACCAGGAAGUAGCGUGAGCAUCACACAGGUCAACCAGGAGUUUAGGGCCAAAGCUGUUCCUCCUCCCACUUCAGACGCCAACCACAAGUUCCCUCAUCAGUUCUCUCACCCGUGCUUCUGAACAACUGGUUCCUAGUCAUUGGCUUCCCACAAGCCUGUCCUUGAAUUCAGGUCCCUUUUUUCUGAUGGCAAUAGAAAAGAAAAUACCACGACUAACACAAGAGCACAAACCUUCAGUCUCAGCACUCGGGAUGUGGAGGCUGGCAGACCUAGACGUCUUCACGGUCCUUUCCCGGUCAAAGAAGUCUUUCCACACACCUGUCUUCUAGAGGUCCUUAUCACGGAACUUCACGUCGGGUUCUUCCCAAGAAUGCAAUCCUUCAGCCAAGCCGUUGGCCCUGGCUCUUUGACUCAUACACAAUCGUAUCAUCGUGAUCAGCAGUACAGAUGUCACUCUUAUAAGAGAAACAUGAUUUCUCAUGUGUGGGCUGGAUUGAGUGACUCCUCUAAAACCAACCUACUUCAUGAGGGAAGCAUUUCCACACCACUAAAUAAAAGCAGAAAAGCUAAGGCGUUUACACAAACAGAAUUUCUCCAGAGACUUCAAGUUUUUCUCUCCCCGCAGGGAGCUACCCGUUCCUAACAGGAAGAGGAUGUUUGUUUUCAGGUCCCACUUCUAUCUGGAGAAUAUUGCUGCCCUGCCCCACUUGUGCUUGCUGGGAUCAAACAACAGAAGCAGAAAAAAAAAAAGACAGUGUUGGUCAGAUGAUCUAACAGGACACCCAGUCUUCCAAGAGGACAAUCCCCAAAUCUGUCACUACUGUGGAAGACUCAGAGGCCAGUAUCCCCUUCACCCAGGUGAGAGCACCAAGGUCCACACUGGGAACGAUGAUUCCCUGGGAUCAGUUGAAAGUUAGUGAGAGUCUCAGGAUCAGAAGCCACACUUCACGUGGUAUGUGCGUGGCCAUCCAACAUGAAUUGUGCAUUUUGUAUUGGUUACUUUUCUCAUUGGGGGACCAGAUAACUGACUUUAAAACAAAGCAUCUUAUGGGAGGGACUCUGCCAAACCAUAAAGUCCAUCACAGUGGGAAGAUUUGAUGGCAGAAACAGUCUGGUCCAUAGCAUCAACCAGGAAGCAGAGAAAGGGAACACCAGUGUUCGGCCGGCCUUCUCAUUUUCCCUCCUGUAUUCAGUCUAGCCCCCAACUCCAUUAAAUGAUGCUUCCACUACAGGAUGUAGUUUCUUUCCUCUAUUAAUUCUCCCUGGAAACUCCUUCCCAGACACAUGUAGGCAUGUAUCUCUUAGGUGAUUCUAAAUGCAGUCGAGUUGAGUAAAGAUUGCCCAUCAUGCAUUUCUCACAACACAGACCAAAUGCACAUGGCUGCCAAGAGCAGAGGAGCUGAGGCAGUGGCUCAAGAUUCCACUCUCCCUGUUUGCUGGAUGCGUCAUUCAGUCUGCAUCUGCUAGCCCCCACCACAUCUGGUGGUGUAGAAGAGUGAGAGUAAGGGAUUAUGGCCAGGUAGGACCUUCAGAGUCAACGUCUCAGUGGCCUAAUCCGUUUACCUAGGCCCCACUUCCUGACACAUUCAUUACCUCUCCAAACAGCACUGCCAGCUCCUGGCCCAGGGUUCAACAUGAGCCUAUGGGGGGGGGACACUCAUAUUCGGACCAUAACAAUGGCUGUAUGUGAACAUAGGGUCUUUUAAGAGAUGGUAGAGUCAAAAUGAAGUCACUAGUGUAGACCCUAAUCCAACCUGACUGGUACUCUUAUGAGAUGGAGAGACCUGAAUGCAAACACUCAGGCAGGAGCAAUCACAGGAGGACAUGGGCAACAUUGCAAUCCAUAAGCCAAGGAAAGGACAACUCCUGUCCACAUCUUGACCCUCUACAGCCGAGAACACAUUUCUGUGGGUUAAGGCCCCAACCCGUGACUGUUUACUAUGGUCUUACCAGCAAGUGACCACACGUUGAAUUCACCAAGGAUUCUGGGUAGAAGUAGACAUCCCCCCACCUUCAAAGAGCAAGACCGGUCAGGCUCAGGUAUGGGCUCUUAUGGCAGAAACCCCAGCUUUAACCAACAUGGUGGGCCUCUGAUUAUUUCAGGCAGUUUGUAUUCCCUGGGUCUAAUUCUGUUUGCUUCUAGGGAACAAUUGGAGGAGUUUGCACAGCUUUCAAAGGUCAAUUUGGAACACAAAUAACUGAUUUAUGUAAUUAGCCACGUGCAAUUACAUGGCACUCCAUCAAGUGGCUUUCUCAUGAACCAGAUUGGCACCACCUGAUCCUUAUAAACAUAAAUAGAUCAGGUUGUUAAGUAACAAGUAAUUAAAAGGAGCACAUGAUAUUCUCUCUGGGUAACUCAGACU